CUGCUCAAUGUUAAUUUAUCCCUCUACUGAUUGCUGAAAAUCACUAAAUUUUUUUGAAGAAAAAUUUAGAUUUAUUUUUAGGGUCAACAAAUACCUUGGGAAAAGACACUUUCUUUUUUUUUUUUUUUGAACAUAAACUCAAGAUGUUAUUGUCUUCAUAAUAAAAGAUGACACUUAGAACUGGAUCACUUGGCCCUUUCUCUUCUUAUCUCCUCCCAGUUCAAAAUGCUUGCAUCUUUUAAUAGCCAGCAUUCUCUUAGAUCUGCAGUUGGGCUCAACGCACUCAAGCCUUAGCACAAUCUUCUUUGUAGUUUUAGCCUUUUUCCGGAAAAUCGGCUUAGUUUGCCCACCAUAGCCACUCUGCUUCCUGUCAUAACGCCGCUUUCCCUGGGCAUACAGAGAAUCCUUGCCCUUCUUGUACUGUCACUUUGUGGGGUUGGUGCUUGCCACACUUCUUACAGAAAGUCCGGUGGGUUUUAGGGACGUUAACCAUGCUUGCGAGAGCGACAUCGGCACGGGAAGAGAAAAGAUACUUUCUUUAUUUUGAAAUGUAAUCUUUCACUGUUAAUUUCAGAGUAAAUACACAUCAAGAAUGACUCACAUUUAAAUAAUUGCAGAUAAAAUGUGGGAACUGCAUUUCAGCAGAGCCAGACUGUCAUCCUGUAGUUCUUCAAGGUUUUGGAACUGCCACCAGUGGUUACAUAUUUUGCUGCUCUAAGUAUCUUAAAAUGGAAGAAUCCCCCUCAUACUUUCCAUAAAGAUUCACCCACCACAAAGCAUAUUUGUUUGGAGACCUCCUCAGUGACAUUUCACAAUUGUGAGCGUGAAUUAUAGAUUCCUAUCACUUAAGCUUUUUGACAGGCCUAACUCUGUGAAUUUGGUUAGACUUUUUAUUUUUCACUGAUUUCUAUUUGAACCUCAUAUCCAUUGUGGAUAACAGGAAUUUUUCUCUCCUUCUGGAAAUCCUUGUUUUGUGUGUGUGCAUUUCAGAACACGUUUGUGUGUGUGUAUUUCUUUUGAAAGAAUCAACAACCAGUGAUUGAUCUCUGCAGAUCUACUGAUAAAGGACAUUUAUUUUACG
Molecule: long non-coding RNA, 1081 nt
Filed under: Macaca mulatta (Rhesus monkey)
Lineage: Eukaryota; Metazoa; Chordata; Mammalia; Primates; Cercopithecidae
Description: lncRNA (ENSMMUG00000049936.1)
Source: RNAcentral